This 274-nucleotide ribosomal RNA is filed under the name uncultured bacterium. RNAcentral describes it as "partial 16S ribosomal RNA". It matches the Rfam family "Bacterial small subunit ribosomal RNA", at positions 523 to 796 of the family's 1533-position model. The record is from RNAcentral.
AUACGGAGGGGGCUAGCGUUGUUCGGAAUUACUGGGCGUAAAGCGCGCGUAGGCGGUCCGCGUAGUCAGGCGUGAAAGCCCCGGGCUCAACCUGGGAACUGCGUUUGAUACUGGCGGACUAGAGUUCGGGAGAGGGUAGUGGAAUUCCCAGUGUAGAGGUGAAAUUCGUAGAUAUUGGGAAGAACACCGGUGGCGAAGGCGGCUACCUGGACCGGACCUGACGCUGAGGUGCGAAAGCGUGGGGAGCAAACAGGAUUAGAAACCCGGGUAGUCC